This 500-nucleotide ribosomal RNA is filed under the name uncultured archaeon. Its description in RNAcentral is "bacterial SSU rRNA". It matches the Rfam family "Archaeal small subunit ribosomal RNA", at positions 325 to 829 of the family's 1478-position model. The record is from RNAcentral.
ACGGGGCGCAGCAGGCGCGAAACCUUUACCAUGCGGGCAACCGUGAUAAGGAAACCCCGAGUGGAUGAACAGUCAUCCUGUCCAUCAGUUUACAACGCUGGUGAAGAAAGGGCCGGGCAAGACCGGUGCCAGCCGCCGCGGUAAUACCGGCGGCUCGAGUGGUGGCCACUAUUACUGGGCUUAAAGGGUCCGUAGCUUGCAUAAUCAGCCUCUUGAGAAAUCCACUGGCUUAACCAAUGGUCGUUCAGGAGGAACUGUUAUGCUAGGGACCGGGAGAGGUAAGGGGUACUGCCGGGGUAGGAGUGAAAUCCUGUAAUCCUGGUGGGACCACCUGUGGCGAAGGCGCCUUACCAGAACGGCUCCGACAGUGAGGGACGAAAGCUGGGGGAGCGAACCGGAUUAGAUACCCGGGUAGUCCCAGCCGUAAACGAUGCGCGUUAGGUGUGUCAGUGACCACGCGUCACUGAGGUGCCGAAGGGAAACCGUGAAACGCGCCGCCU